ACGGAAGGCAGCAGUGAGGAAUAUUGGUCAAUGGACGAGAGUCUGAACCAGCCAAGUAGCGUGCAGGAUGACGGCCCUAUGGGUUGUAAACUGCUUUUGUACGGGAAUAAAGUGACCUACGUGUAGGUUUUUGCAUGUACCGUAAGAAUAAGGACCGGCUAAUUCCGUGCCAGCAGCCGCGGUAAUACGGAAGGUCCGGGCGUUAUCCGGAUUUAUUGGGUUUAAAGGGUGCGUAGGCGGAUGAUUAAGUCUGUGGUGAAAGCGUGCGGCUCAACCGUACCGAGCCAUGGAAACUGGUUGUCUUGAGUGUAAACGAGGUAGGCGGAAUGUGACAUGUAGCGGUGAAAUGCUUAGAUAUGUCACAGAACUCCGAUUGCGAAGGCAGCUUACCAGCAUACAACUGACGCUGAGGCACGAAAGCGUGGGUAUCAAACAGGAUUAGAUACCCUGGUA
This 453-nucleotide ribosomal RNA is filed under the name uncultured Prevotella sp. RNAcentral describes it as "partial 16S ribosomal RNA". It matches the Rfam family "Bacterial small subunit ribosomal RNA", at positions 341 to 792 of the family's 1533-position model. The record is from RNAcentral. Lineage: Bacteria; Pseudomonadati; Bacteroidota; Bacteroidia; Bacteroidales; Prevotellaceae.